GCCGCCGCGCUCGCCUGACCUGCGUGCCCCGCUGGCCGCGCCGGGCUGCCCCGAAGGAUGUCCGCCCAGUCCAAGGGGACCGCAUCCUCCUCCUCCUCGCCGUCCGAGGGGCCGCCGGCAGCCUCCAAAACCAAGGUGAAGGAGCAGAUCAAGAUCAUCGUGGAGGAUUUGGAAUUAGUCCUGGGGGACCUGAAAGAUGUCGCCAAGGAACUUAAGGAGGUGGUUGACCAGAUUGACACACUGACAUGUGAUCUGCAGCUGGAGGAUGAGAUGACAGACAGCUCCAAAACAGACACCCUGAACAGCAGCUCCAGCAGCACGACGGCCUCCAGCCUGGAGAAGGUGAAGGUGCGUGGCAGCGCGCCGCUCAUCAAGCCGCCCGCGCACCCGUCCGCCAUCCUCACCGUGCUGCGCAAGCCCAACCCGCCGCCUCCUCCGCCUCGCCUGACGCCCGUCAGGUGCGAUGAGCCCCCCAGGCUGCCUCCCUUGGCCAACCCGCUCAAGACCAAUGGCACCCUGCUGCGGAACGGGGGCCUGCCCGCGGCGCCGGGCCGCGUCCCCAACGGGGAUGUGUGCUGUGUGCCCGGCAGCGGCCUGGAGAAGGCGGUGAUGCCGCCCCUGGCACACAGGGCCGAGAAGGAGCGGUGUGCCCAGGCCGGAGCCAGGGAGCGAGUGCGGUUCAGCGAGAAGGUGCAGUACCAUGGGUACUGCCCCGACUGUGACGUUCGCUACAACAUCAAAAACAGAGAGGUGCACUUGCACAGCGAGCCCGCCCGGGCUGCGGGAAAGCUGCCACACCAGUGCCCUCCUCUGCCGCCUCCUCCGCCUCCACUGCCUCCGUUUCUUCUGGAAAAUGGAGGGUUGGGGAUAAGUCCCAGUAAUAGCUUUCCUCCUCCAAGACCUGCAACUGUGCCUCCACAAACUGCGCCAAAACCCCAGAAGACCAUCUUGAGGAAAUCAACCACUACAACAGUGUGAAGUAUGCCCCUUGUAAUAACUCUUUGUUUUUUCCUAUAUAUAAACAUAAAUAGGUAAUGAGCACUUUCUACUUGAGCAAUAAAAAGACCCAAUGUAUUACACCCUGUGUCCAGUGAAGUGGCAUAAAAAUCACAUGAGUCCUCCUAGACAGAGCUGGCAGAGCAAAUCAGAUAUUCCACUUUACAGAAAACUGUGCUAGCAACUCGGGAGCAAGCCUGCAGCGUAGUUCCUGAGUUUGAAACAUGUUCUGCACCAGAAGCUGACUUCUCACAAGCUACAGAGGAGGUGAAGUGUUCUGACUCUUUAACUUCUCUCCCCCCAGUCCUUUGAAAGCCACAUUCUCUUGCGGAUGAGUGGAGUUACCUGACACUCAUUGCAGCAACAAAGGCAGCUGAGCCAACCCUUCUCUCCUGGACACCUUCAGGCUUGAAGGAAUAUCUAUAUUUGGAGGCACGUCAAUUAAUUUGCGUAUCAGAUUCAUCAUUGUGACUUCUUGCAGGCCAGAUCUGAGAAGUAACCAGGAAACCUGACCCUUAGUGGAGAAUGGAAGAACCCUUGAAGUCAGAGCACAACUGAGCACUAGUGUAAUCUGCAUUGAAUCAUCUUUCUCAGAUCUGACAGCUACAAGCUGAGUCCUGGCAACAGCCACAGCCUUAAAUUCCAUUGAGUGGGAAAGAAGGAUAAGAGAGCUCAAUGUUUUGCCCCGUUGCAGAAACUGCUGUUUCCAGGCCUAACACCUGAGUCCUGUGCUGAGCAACGAGAGUACCAAACAAGGAGUUUUUUAUGGGUACAGCCAGCAUCAACAAAUAUUUCAAUAUGUAGCCAAAAGGAAAAAGGAAGCACUUAAGUAAUAUCAGAAAAUGGAUGCAUUUAUUGUAACAGAGAAAUGUUACUGUCCGUGGGGAAGAAGACCUCUGUCGUCCCUUGUAUAUAUUCAAAGCCAUACAGGAACAGGGCAUAAGUGAAGUCACUUAAAAGGAUGCUGUCUCCUGUCCUCCACCCGACUUUGAGGAAGUUCCACUCUUAGAGAUUGCAUCUCGAUGCACUUCUGUUAUUUGCACUGUCACUUCCAUUCAGGGUAAUGAUGUGUGCCACCAUUUGCACAGAUGACCCCAGGAGAUUUUUGACCACAACAAGCUAUACUUUGCCAGGGCUCCAAAUGGAAUUAAAAAGUUAGAACUGAAGAAAGACAUUUAUGCUCUCUUUUACUAUGGGGAUCUCUUCACAGAAAGGAUUAUGGUCCUUUCUUAGGAUGAAAUAAAUACAUGCAUAUACAUACAUAUAUACAUAUGUAUAUAUAUGAAAAAGCAGCAACAUGAUAAGGUGUAUUUAAAAAGGGGAUAUAAUCUUUUUUAAUAGCAUCCAUUUUUUUUAUCAUAUUAGCAGCCGAGAAGUUUAAGCUAUCGAAUUAUACAUCAAAAAAUGUUCCUGUUGAACAUUGACAUUUAGUCCCAGUUACUGCUAAAGAAGUCAUUUGUAAUAUGUACUUGACAUAAAAUUUUUCUAGCCAUUUGUCUAUACUUCAUGGAGAAAUCUAACAGACAAGCAACAUUUUCAGUUUAUUUUUCUAAAUAAAUGUGUUGUUUGUAUUAUUUGCAGUCACUCAUUUUGGCUGUUUUUCAUUAUCUCCAAAAGUGAUUUAAAGACAGAACCAAAACACAGGGAUUGUUUGUUCUUGUUAAGCUGUAAUGAUUUGCUGAAUGAAAGCUUUAAUAUAAAUACUGUAAUUUGUAAAAUGAUGAAGUAUAUUUAUAUAGGCAAAUAUGUAUGGAAAACAAAAGGAGGUAUUUUAACUCUUAAUUUCAGAACAUAGUUUAUUUUAAUAUCCACAGGAAGAAAUUAAAUAUAUAAUGGGAUAGGGUUUUUAUUAUCAAUGAGUUUUACUAAGUGAAAAUUUGGAUGUUUAAGAAUGAAAUGAAUGUAGUCAAAUAAUGGUGGUUUCCCAAAUUAUAAAAAGACCUUUUGCCAGUUGUCUCAUUUUACUGAAAAACUGAUUUAAUCAUCGGGGGUUGGGUUUUUCUGGGGGGGUGUGUGUGCUAAGGUUUUUGUUUGGUGUUUUCUUUGUUUUGGCAUACUGACAGGACCAUGAAUUUGAUACUAUUUGCUCGUAAUUUGAAAAGCUACAGAAUAAAAGAUUGUUUCUUAGAACAAUCUACAGUUUGCAGUUAAGAAGAGUCAUUGUUAUCAAACUAAUGCAGUGUUUUGUUGUAGAGUUAUUGAACAUUUCAAUGCUAGAGCUGUUUUGAAUAAAUUUUUUUUCCUUUUUUUCUUAGUCCAUUAGCCUAUGUGUAAUUCAAAGAGAAAAGUAAUGCAUUUGGUUCCCAGUUCACUUAAAUAAUUUGUCUUAAGUCCAGUUAUAUGUAUCUGAUUUUUAAAAAGCUGAAUAGCUUUUUGUUUUUUUCCAGUUCAUCGCUUUAUGGAAGCAUUUUAGUGCUCACUAACAGAAAAAAUACCUUUCAACAACAGAAAUAAUUUUCAAAAAAUCUGUGGGUUAACCUUGUGAAGGGCAGAUGUCUUAAAAAUGUGUUGCUCUGCUCCAAUGUGCUAACAAGUGUAAUGCGUGUGUGUUUGUGUGUGCGUGUGCACACAUGGCACCCUCACCUGCUCAUGAGUGAAAUGCCAGCUCUGCUGAAGUAAGUGCCACAAGUCCUGUUACUGGAAAAGAUGCUCUUGCUACUGUAUUCUUUGGUGAAAGACCUGACCUCUGUCUUUGCUUGUGACUCUGAAGCCAUAAACAGCUUUUGAAGUUUGUCAGGAAAUCAGAAAAUUAAGUAAGUUUAUGUUAGGCUCCCUCAUUUGGCAAAAAUUGGGAUGAUCUUAUGAUUUGACUCUUUUUAUGAAAGUUAAGUGGUCAACUUCCUUUGGUGCAAUGGAUAAAUGAAACCUUUGUAUUUGUUAAAGAAUGAUGUCUGUGUUUUGUUCACACACAAUUCAGCUUUUGGCUUAUAGUGUUCUUACUGUGAUGUCAUUCCUGUGUCAUUAGAAUAAGUUAUUUGGACACAUAAGUGGCAUGGGCUUGGUUUUCCUCCUUUUUAGGAUGAUCAGUAUUUUAAAAUUGGAGAGCUUCUUCUUUGAGACAAGUAUUCAGUUGUUUAAGAAGGGGACAACAUUAUUGAAACAAUAAGAAAAUUUCAGAAUAAUAAUUCGAACACUUCCAUCAUUGCCUAAUAAUAACACUUGAAAAAGCUCUUAUUUUUGUGGACAAAAUGCAUUCACCUGUAUUUGAAAAUAGCCCAAUAAAAAUCCAGUGGAAUAA
Melospiza melodia melodia is the source of this 4234-nucleotide RNA transcript. It is a transcript of the gene named proline rich 16, with no coding region annotated. NCBI's taxonomy places the organism in Eukaryota, Metazoa, Chordata, Aves, Passeriformes, Passerellidae. The transcript has 5 exons. The record is from RefSeq and is a predicted model, not a curated record.